GAUGAACGCUGGCGGCGUGCCUAAUACAUGCAAGUCGAACGCUUUGUGGUUCAACUGAUUUGAAGAGCUUGCUCAGAUAUGACGAUGGACAUUGCAAAGAGUGGCGAACGGGUGAGUAACACGUGGGAAACCUACCUCUUAGCAGGGGAUAACAUUUGGAAACAGAUGCUAAUACCGUAUAACAAUGACAACCGCAUGGUUGUUAUUUAAAAGAUGGUUCUGCUAUCACUAAGAGAUGGUCCCGCGGUGCAUUAGCUAGUUGGUAAGGUAAUGGCUUACCAAGGCGAUGAUGCAUAGCCGAGUUGAGAGACUGAUCGGCCACAAUGGGACUGAGACACGGCCCAUACUCCUACGGGAGGCAGCAGUAGGGAAUCUUCCACAAUGGGCGAAAGCCUGAUGGAGCAACGCCGCGUGUGUGAUGAAGGGUUUCGGCUCGUAAAACACUGUUGUAAGAGAAGAAUGACAUUGAGAGUAACUGUUCAAUGUGUGACGGUAUCUUACCAGAAAGGAACGGCUAAAUACGUGCCAGCAGCCGCGGUAAUACGUAUGUUCCAAGCGUUAUCCGGAUUUAUUGGGCGUAAAGCGAGCGCAGACGGUUAUUUAAGUCUGAAGUGAAAGCCCUCAGCUCAACUGAGGAAUUGCUUUGGAAACUGGAUGACUUGAGUGCAGUAGAGGAAAGUGGAACUCCAUGUGUAGCGGUGAAAUGCGUAGAUAUAUGGAAGAACACCAGUGGCGAAGGCGGCUUUCUGGACUGUAACUGACGUUGAGGCUCGAAAGUGUGGAUAGCAAACAGGAUUAGAUACCCUGGUAGUCCACACCGUAAACGAUGAGUGCUAGGUGUUUGAGGGUUUCCGCCCUUAAGUGCCGCAGCUAACGCAUUAAGCACUCCGCCUGGGGAGUACGACCGCAAGGUUGAAACUCAAAGGAAUUGACGGGGACCCGCACAAGCGGUGGAGCAUGUGGUUUAAUUCGAAGCAACGCGAAGAACCUUACCAGGUCUUGACAUCCCUUGACAACUCCAGAGAUGGAGCGUUCCCUUCGGGGACAAGGUGACAGGUGGUGCAUGGUUGUCGUCAGCUCGUGUCGUGAGAUGUUGGGUUAAGUCCCGCAACGAGCGCAACCCUUAUUACUAGUUGCCAGCAUUCAGUUGGGCACUCUAGUGAGACUGCCGGUGACAAACCGGAGGAAGGUGGGGAUGACGUCAAAUCAUCAUGCCCCUUAUGACCUGGGCUACACACGUGCUACAAUGGCGUAUACAACGAGUUGCCAACCCGCGAGGGUGAGCUAAUCUCUUAAAGUACGUCUCAGUUCGGAUUGUAGGCUGCAACUCGCCUACAUGAAGUCGGAAUCGCUAGUAAUCGCGGAUCAGCACGCCGCGGUGAAUACGUUCCCGGGUCUUGUACACACCGCCCGUCACACCAUGAGAGUUUGUAACACCCAAAGCCGGUGGGGUAACCUUCGGGAGCCAGCCGUCUAAGGUGGGACAGAUGAUUAGGGUG
Molecule: ribosomal RNA, 1499 nt
Filed under: Weissella confusa
Lineage: Bacteria; Bacillati; Bacillota; Bacilli; Lactobacillales; Lactobacillaceae
Description: bacterial SSU rRNA
Rfam family: Bacterial small subunit ribosomal RNA
Source: RNAcentral